CGUAGUGACUGCGGAGGACAUUA
This 23-nucleotide ribosomal RNA is filed under the name Neomassarina pandanicola. RNAcentral's name for it is "partial 18S small subunit ribosomal RNA". Lineage: Eukaryota; Fungi; Ascomycota; Dothideomycetes; Pleosporales. The record is from RNAcentral.